AGUGAACGCUGGCGGUAGGCCUAACACAUGCAAGUCGAACGGCAGCACAGUAAGAGCUUGCUCUUACGGGUGGCGAGUGGCGGACGGGUGAGGAAUACAUCGGAAUCUACUUUUUCGUGGGGGAUAACGUAGGGAAACUUACGCUAAUACCGCAUACGACCUACGGGUGAAAGCAGGGGAUCUUCGGACCUUGCGCGAUUGAAUGAGCCGAUGUCGGAUUAGCUAGUUGGCGGGGUAAAGGCCCACCAAGGCGACGAUCCGUAGCUGGUCUGAGAGGAUGAUCAGCCACACUGGAACUGAGACACGGCCCAGACUCCUACGGGAGGCAGCAGUGGGGAAUAUUGGACAAUGGGCGCAAGCCUGAUCCAGCCAUACCGCGUGGGUGAAGAAGGCCUUCGGGUUGUAAAGCUCUUUUGUUGGGAAAGAAAAGCAGCAGGUUAAUACCCCGCUGUUCUGACGGUACCCAAAGAAUAAGCACCGGCUAACUUCGUG
Molecule: ribosomal RNA, 492 nt
Filed under: uncultured bacterium
Lineage: Bacteria
Description: partial 16S ribosomal RNA
Rfam family: Bacterial small subunit ribosomal RNA
Source: RNAcentral